GAGUUUGAUCCUGGCUCAGGACGAACGCUGGCGGCGUGCUUAACACAUGCAAGUCGAGCGAUGAAGCUCCUUCGGGAGUGGAUUAGCGGCGGACGGGUGAGUAACACGUGGGUAACCUGCCUCAUAGAGGGGAAUAGCCUUCCGAAAGGAAGAUUAAUACCGCAUAAGAUUGUAGUUUCGCAUGAAACAGCAAUUAAAGGAGCAAUCCGCUAUGAGAUGGACCCGCGUCGCAUUAGCUAGUUGGUGAGGUAACGGCUCACCAAGGCGACGAUGCGUAGCCGACCUGAGAGGGUGAUCGGCCACAUUGGGACUGAGACACKGCCCAGACUCCUACGGGAGGCAGCAGUGGGGAAUAUUGCACAACGGGGGAAACCCUGAUGCAGCAGCGCCACGUGAGUGAUGACAGUCUCCGGAUUGUACAACUCUGACGACAGGGACGAUAAUGGCGGUGGAAGCCGAGGAUGCCUACGCUAACUACGUGCCAGCAUUCGCUAUGUG
Molecule: ribosomal RNA, 498 nt
Filed under: uncultured bacterium
Lineage: Bacteria
Description: bacterial SSU rRNA
Rfam family: Bacterial small subunit ribosomal RNA
Source: RNAcentral